CUCUUAUCCAGAGAGGUGGAGGGACUGGCCCUUUGAAGCCUCGGCAACAGCUCAAUAUGAGCCAGUGCCAAUUCCAGUAGCUGCGGCUAGAAGAUGAGAA
RNAcentral lists this non-coding RNA (100 nucleotides) under Salinicoccus halodurans. Its description in RNAcentral is "SAM-I sequence". It matches the Rfam family "SAM riboswitch aptamer (S box leader)". Rfam says of the family: The SAM riboswitch is found upstream of a number of genes which code for proteins involved in methionine or cysteine biosynthesis in Gram-positive bacteria. The SAM riboswitch acts at the level of transcription termination control. The predicted structure consists of a complex stem-loop region followed by a single stem loop terminator region. The record is from RNAcentral. Lineage: Bacteria; Bacillati; Bacillota; Bacilli; Caryophanales; Staphylococcaceae.